UGGGGAAUAUUGGGCAAUGGGCGAAAGCCUGACCCAGCGACGCCGCGUGAGGGAAGAAGGUCUUCGGAUUGUAAACCUUAGUUAGCAGGGAAGAAGAAAGUGACGGUACCUGCAGAGAAAGCCACGGCUAACUACGUGCCAGCAGCCGCGGUAAUACGUAGGUGGCAAGCGUUAUCCGGAUUUACUGGGUGUAAAGGGCGCGUAGGCGGGGAUACAAGUCAGAUGUGAAAUCUAUGGGCUUAACCCAUAAACUGCAUUUGAAACUGUAUCUCUUGAGUGUCGGAGAGGUAGACGGAAUUCCUAGUGUAGCGGUGAAAUGCGUAGAUAUUAGGAGGAACACCAGUGGCGAAGGCGGUCUACUGGACGAUAACUGACGCUGAGGCGCGAAAG
This 390-nucleotide ribosomal RNA is filed under the name uncultured Oscillospiraceae bacterium. Its description in RNAcentral is "bacterial SSU rRNA". It matches the Rfam family "Bacterial small subunit ribosomal RNA", at positions 355 to 759 of the family's 1533-position model. Lineage: Bacteria; Bacillati; Bacillota; Clostridia; Eubacteriales; Oscillospiraceae. The record is from RNAcentral.